RNAcentral lists this ribosomal RNA (468 nucleotides) under uncultured bacterium. Its description in RNAcentral is "partial 16S ribosomal RNA". It matches the Rfam family "Bacterial small subunit ribosomal RNA", at positions 28 to 507 of the family's 1533-position model. The record is from RNAcentral.
GACGAACGCUGGCGGCGUGCUUAACACAUGCAAGUCGAACGGAAAGGUCCUGCUUUUGUGGGGUGCUCGAGUGGCGAACGGGUGAGUAACACGUGAGUAACCUGCCCUUGACUUUGGGAUAACUUCAGGAAACUGGGGCUAAUACCGGAUAGGAGCUCCUGCUGCAUGGUGGGGGUUGGAAAGUUUCGGCGGUUGGGGAUGGACUCGCGGCUUAUCCGCUUGUUGGUGGGGUAGUGGCUUACCAGGGCUUUGACGGGUAGCCGGCCUGAGAGGGUGAACGGCCACAUGGGGACUGAGGGACGGCGCAGUCUCCUACGGGAGGCAGCAGGGGGGAAUAUUGCACAAUGGGGGGAAGUCUGAGGCAGCGGCGCCGCGUGCGUGAAGACGGCCUUCGGGUUGUAAACCGCUUUCGCCUGUGACGAAGCGGGAGUGACGGUAAUUGGUAAAGAAGCACCGGCUAACUACGUG